AUUUUAAUAAUUUAAAUAAAAUAUUGGUCUUGUAAACCAAAAAUAAGAUCCUUUCUUUUAAAAUA
RNAcentral lists this transfer RNA (65 nucleotides) under Cycloneda sanguinea. RNAcentral describes it as "tRNA-Thr". It matches the Rfam family "tRNA". From Rfam's summary of the family: Transfer RNA (tRNA) molecules are approximately 80 nucleotides in length. Their secondary structure includes four short double-helical elements and three loops (D, anti-codon, and T loops). Further hydrogen bonds mediate the characteristic L-shaped molecular structure. tRNAs have two regions of fundamental functional importance: the anti-codon, which is responsible for specific mRNA codon recognition, and the 3' end, to which the tRNAs corresponding amino acid is attached (by aminoacyl-tRNA synthetases). tRNAs cope with the degeneracy of the genetic code in two manners: having more than one tRNA (with a specific anti-codon) for a particular amino acid; and 'wobble' base-pairing, i.e. permitting non-standard base-pairing at the 3rd anti-codon position. The record is from RNAcentral. Lineage: Eukaryota; Metazoa; Arthropoda; Insecta; Coleoptera; Coccinellidae.